GCGAGUGAAGCGGGAAGAGCACAAAUUUAAAAUCUACCUGGUUUCCAGGUCGAGUUGUAAUUUGAAGAUACGUUUUUGACAUUCCGGGUUGAACUAAAUCCUUUGGGAUAAGGUAUCAUGGAGGGUGAGAAUCCCGUAUAUACCAACCGUAGGGAUGUUAUUUAACACGUUUCUAAGAGUCGAGUUGUUUGGGAAUGCAGCUCUAAAUGGGUGGUAAAUUUCACCUAAUGCUAAAUAUAAGCGAGAGACCGAUAGCGAACAAGUACAGUGAUGGAAAGAUGAAAAGAACUUUGAAAAGAGAGUUAAAUAGUACGUGAAAUUGUUGAAAGGGAAACGAUUGAAGUCAGUCAUGCCAGUGGGAAUCAACUUUGAGGAAACUUUAGGUGCACUUCUUCACUUGGCAGGUUAGUGUCGAUUUUGGAUACCAUAAAAUAACUGGGGGAAGGUAGCUUCUUAGGGAGUGUUAUAGCCCUUGGUAGAUGUGAUGUCUGGGAUUGAGGAUUGCAACGGAUACCCUUUAGGGCUAGUCACCUGAUCUCUAAUUGGUAUUGGGUUACGGAUAGCAUGCUGACCGUGAUCUAAUUAUUGGUUAAAAGGUUAGAGCGUGUAUAAACUCAUUAAGGACGU
RNAcentral lists this ribosomal RNA (627 nucleotides) under Gigaspora gigantea. RNAcentral describes it as "partial large subunit ribosomal RNA". It matches the Rfam family "Eukaryotic large subunit ribosomal RNA", at positions 89 to 626 of the family's 3401-position model. Lineage: Eukaryota; Fungi; Glomeromycota; Glomeromycetes; Diversisporales; Gigasporaceae. The record is from RNAcentral.